RNAcentral lists this unclassified non-coding RNA (436 nucleotides) under Hevea brasiliensis (rubber tree). The record is from RNAcentral. Lineage: Eukaryota; Viridiplantae; Streptophyta; Magnoliopsida; Malpighiales; Euphorbiaceae.
CACCGGCUAAUUAAGAAGGAGAGAUUGACUUUCCCAUGGCUCUCUCCCUCUUUCUCUCUCACUAUGUCUCUCUUUCUCCAUCUCUCUCCCACUCUCUCUCACUCUCCCAUGCCUUCCUCUCUUUCCUAAUUUUUUUUCUCUCUCUCUCCCCCUCCUCUUUCCUAAAUUUUUUUCCAUAAACUUUUAAAAUUUUUGCACUUUUAGCAUUCAGAACUUAAAACCUUUUUUUUUAUUGACAAUUCAGCAUCAUGGACUUUCAACCUUUUGCAAUUAGGUCACAAAAUGAAAAAGGGAUAAAAAUAGUUGAGUGAUGUCUAAUUUGGAGCUGACAUCAGCAUGCCAGGUCAGCGCCAUUAACGUUGUUAGCCACUUUUUCACCAAAGUGCUAACGACAGGAAAGUGGAAUCCUUGAACUACAACGAAACUUACUUUAGAC